Molecule: non-coding RNA, 337 nt
Organism: Paramisgurnus dabryanus
Lineage: Eukaryota; Metazoa; Chordata; Actinopteri; Cypriniformes; Cobitidae
Source: RefSeq, a predicted model, not a curated record
UGCUAAUUGUCCCCAACACCCAACAGAACAAAUGAAAUGUUUUCAAAAUGAAGUCAAGGAUAAAUGUUCAGAAAUGUUUGAAGAUGAAGACACUUUGAAAAACUUUAACAGUGAGGAGUUAGAAAUCAUAAACAACAUAAUCAAUAUAAAUGACACAGAGGAAUACAAGACCUACAGUUUUGGGGAUCUUGACAUAGCCGUGUUUAUGGUAAACGUAAGCAAGGAAGAUGGUUUUGUAUCAAUCAACACAUCAGAGCUUUUUAAUGAUACUGACGCACCACAAAUAUGGAUCCCAGAGGAGUCUUUCCUAAAUGUUUCAGACGAAGAGAGCAGAGUC